GUGGCCGAGUGGCUGAAGGCGCUCCCUUGGCUCAAGGGAGUAUACGGCUUAUACCCGUAUCGAGGGUUCGAACCGAGCCGCAG
Molecule: transfer RNA, 83 nt
Filed under: Wenzhouxiangella sp. AB-CW3
Lineage: Bacteria; Pseudomonadati; Pseudomonadota; Gammaproteobacteria; Chromatiales; Wenzhouxiangellaceae
Description: tRNA-Ala
Source: RNAcentral